AAAGUAGUGAUGCAGAGUAAAACUCUAAAAGCGGUCUCAGUUCGGAUUGAAGGCUGAAAUUCGCCUUCAUGAAGCUGGAAUUGCUAGUAAUGGCAGGUCAGCAUACUGCCGUGAAUACGUUCCCGGGCCUUGUACACACCGCCCGUCACACCAUGAGAGUUGGAAAUACCCGAAGCCUGUGAGCUAACAAACGAGGCAGCAGUCGAAGGUAGAGCCAAUGAUUGGGGUGAAGUCGUAACAAGGUAUC
RNAcentral lists this ribosomal RNA (247 nucleotides) under uncultured bacterium. RNAcentral's name for it is "partial 16S ribosomal RNA". It matches the Rfam family "Bacterial small subunit ribosomal RNA", at positions 1251 to 1500 of the family's 1533-position model. The record is from RNAcentral.